This 481-nucleotide ribosomal RNA is filed under the name uncultured Glomus. Its description in RNAcentral is "SSU rRNA". It matches the Rfam family "Eukaryotic small subunit ribosomal RNA", at positions 569 to 1055 of the family's 1831-position model. Lineage: Eukaryota; Fungi; Glomeromycota; Glomeromycetes; Glomerales; Glomeraceae. The record is from RNAcentral.
AGCAGCCGCGGUAAUUCCAGCUCCAAUAGCGUAUAUUAAAGUUGUUGCAGUUAAAAAGCUCGUAGUUGAAUUUCGGGAUCAAGGAAUCGGUCAUGCCUUGGUAUGUACUGGUUUUAUUGGUUCUCACCUUCUAAAGAACCAUAAUGUCAUUUAUUUGAUGUUAUGGGGAAUUAGGACUGUUACCUUGAAAAAAUUAGAGUGUUUAAAGCAAGCUUACGCUUGAAUACAUUAGCAUGGAAUAAUGAAAUAGGACAUCAGAUUCUAUUUUGUUGGUUUCUACGAUCGAUGUAAUGAUUAAUAGGGAUAGUUGGGGGCAUUAGUAUUCAAUUGUCAGAGGUGAAAUUCUUGGAUUUAUUGAAGACUAACUACUGCGAAAGCAUUUGCCAAGGAUGUUUUCAUUAAUCAAGAACGAAAGUUAGGGGAUCGAAGACGAUCAGAUACCGUCGUAGUCUUAACCAUAAACUAUGCCGACUAGGGAUCG